GGCCCCGUUGUCUAGCGGUCUAGGACAUCGCCCUCUCACGGCGAAGACUGGGGUUCGAGUCCCCACGGGGUCACCA
RNAcentral lists this transfer RNA (76 nucleotides) under Clostridiaceae bacterium. Its description in RNAcentral is "tRNA-Glu". It matches the Rfam family "tRNA". Rfam says of the family: Transfer RNA (tRNA) molecules are approximately 80 nucleotides in length. The record is from RNAcentral. Lineage: Bacteria; Bacillati; Bacillota; Clostridia; Eubacteriales; Clostridiaceae.